This 26-nucleotide non-coding RNA is filed under the name Rattus norvegicus (Norway rat). The record is from RNAcentral. Lineage: Eukaryota; Metazoa; Chordata; Mammalia; Rodentia; Muridae.
UAGCUUUUCCCAAGGAUACCGUGUCU